This 1496-nucleotide ribosomal RNA is filed under the name Pseudomonas plecoglossicida NBRC 103162 = DSM 15088. Its description in RNAcentral is "bacterial LSU rRNA". It matches the Rfam family "Bacterial large subunit ribosomal RNA", at positions 1448 to 2925 of the family's 2925-position model. The record is from RNAcentral. Lineage: Bacteria; Pseudomonadati; Pseudomonadota; Gammaproteobacteria; Pseudomonadales; Pseudomonadaceae.
CAGUUAUUGCGAUGGAGGGACGGAGAAGGCUAGGCCAGCUUGGCGUUGGUUGUCCAAGUUUAAGGUGGUAGGCUGAAAUCUUAGGCAAAUCCGGGAUUUCAAGGCCGAGAGCUGAUGACGAGUUGCCAUUAGGCGACGAAGUGGUUGAUGCCAUGCUUCCAAGAAAAGCUCCUAAGCUUCAGAUAACUGGGAACCGUACCCCAAACCGACACAGGUGGUUAGGUAGAGAAUACCAAGGCGCUUGAGAGAACUCGGGUGAAGGAACUAGGCAAAAUGGCACCGUAACUUCGGGAGAAGGUGCGCCGGUGAGGGUGAAGGACUUGCUCCGUAAGCUCAUGCCGGUCGAAGAUACCAGGCCGCUGCGACUGUUUAUUAAAAACACAGCACUCUGCAAACACGAAAGUGGACGUAUAGGGUGUGACGCCUGCCCGGUGCCGGAAGGUUAAUUGAUGGGGUUAGCGCAAGCGAAGCUCUUGAUCGAAGCCCCGGUAAACGGCGGCCGUAACUAUAACGGUCCUAAGGUAGCGAAAUUCCUUGUCGGGUAAGUUCCGACCUGCACGAAUGGCGUAACGAUGGCGGCGCUGUCUCCACCCGAGACUCAGUGAAAUUGAAAUCGCUGUGAAGAUGCAGUGUAUCCGCGGCUAGACGGAAAGACCCCGUGAACCUUUACUAUAGCUUUGCACUGGACUUUGAAUUUGCUUGUGUAGGAUAGGUGGGAGGCUUUGAAGUGGGGACGCCAGUUCUCAUGGAGCCAUCCUUGAAAUACCACCCUGGCAACUUUGAGGUUCUAACUCAGGUCCGUUAUCCGGAUCGAGGACAGUGUAUGGUGGGUAGUUUGACUGGGGCGGUCUCCUCCCAAAGAGUAACGGAGGAGUACGAAGGUGCGCUCAGACCGGUCGGAAAUCGGUCGUAGAGUAUAAAGGCAAAAGCGCGCUUGACUGCGAGACAAACACGUCGAGCAGGUACGAAAGUAGGUCUUAGUGAUCCGGUGGUUCUGUAUGGAAGGGCCAUCGCUCAACGGAUAAAAGGUACUCCGGGGAUAACAGGCUGAUACCGCCCAAGAGUUCAUAUCGACGGCGGUGUUUGGCACCUCGAUGUCGGCUCAUCACAUCCUGGGGCUGAAGCCGGUCCCAAGGGUAUGGCUGUUCGCCAUUUAAAGUGGUACGCGAGCUGGGUUUAGAACGUCGUGAGACAGUUCGGUCCCUAUCUGCCGUGGACGUUUGAGAUUUGAGAGGGGCUGCUCCUAGUACGAGAGGACCGGAGUGGACGAACCUCUGGUGUUCCGGUUGUCACGCCAGUGGCAUUGCCGGGUAGCUAUGUUCGGAAGAGAUAACCGCUGAAAGCAUCUAAGCGGGAAACUUGCCUCAAGAUGAGAUCUCACUGGGAUCUUGAAUCCCCUGAAGGGCCGUCGAAGACUACGACGUUGAUAGGUUGGGUGUGUAAGCGCUGUGAGGCGUUGAGCUAACCAAUACUAAUUGCCCGUGAGGCUUGACCAU